AACGCACAUUGCGCCCGCGGGCAUCCCCGCGGGCAUGCCCGUCCGAGCGUCGUUAAUCCAACCCCCGAGCACCGCUCGGCGUUGGGGACCUACAGCGCCUGUAGGCCCCGAAGAGCAGUGGCGGGCGCGCCGCGGCCACCCGAGCGAGCAGUAGAAUCCUACCGCCCGGCGUGCGCGGCGCAUCCAGCCCUGAGCGCUGCUUGGAGUCCUCUCCAGCAGCACCAUAACUCAAAGGUCGACCUCGGAUCGGGUAGGGAUACCCGCUGAACUUAA
RNAcentral lists this unclassified non-coding RNA (273 nucleotides) under uncultured fungus. RNAcentral's name for it is "sequence contains ITS2". The record is from RNAcentral. Lineage: Eukaryota; Fungi.